RNAcentral lists this ribosomal RNA (379 nucleotides) under uncultured organism. Its description in RNAcentral is "bacterial LSU rRNA". It matches the Rfam family "Bacterial large subunit ribosomal RNA", at positions 2105 to 2486 of the family's 2925-position model. The record is from RNAcentral.
CGGAACUUAAUUGGACUUUGACAGAUCUGUGUAGGAUAGGUGGGAGGCUUUGAAGUAAGGUCGCUAGAUCUUAUGGAGCCAACGUUGAAAUACCACCCUGGUGUGUUUGAGGUUCUAACCUUGUCCCGUUAUCCGGGAUGGGGACAGUGUAUGGUGGGCAGUUUGACUGGGGCGGUCUCCUCCCAAAGUGUAACGGAGGAGUUCGAAGGUACCCUAGUUACGGUCGGAAAUCGUGACGAUAGUGCAUUGGCAUAAGCGUGCUUGACUGCGAGACUGACAAGUCGAGCAGGUACGAAAGUAGGACAAAGUGAUCCGGUGGUUCUGUAUGGAAGGGCCAUCCCUCAACGGAUAAAAGGUACUCUAGGGAUAACAGGCUGAA